RNAcentral lists this ribosomal RNA (396 nucleotides) under uncultured bacterium. RNAcentral's name for it is "bacterial SSU rRNA". It matches the Rfam family "Bacterial small subunit ribosomal RNA", at positions 954 to 1348 of the family's 1533-position model. The record is from RNAcentral.
AUGGGAACGCGAAGAACCUUACCUACUCUUGACAUCCAGAGAACUUUCCAGAGAUGGAUUGGUGCCUUCGGGAACUCUGAGACAGGUGCUGCAUGGCUGUCGUCAGCUCGUGUUGUGAAAUGUUGGGUUAAGUCCCGCAACGAGCGCAACUCGUUAUCCUUUGUUGCCAGCGGUUAGGCCGGGAACUCAAAGGAGACUGCCAGUGAUAAACUGGAGGAAGGUGGGGAUGACGUCAAGUCAUCAUGGCCCUUACGAGUAGGGCUACACACGUGCUACAAUGGCGCAUACAAAGAGAAGCGACCUCGCGAGAGCAAGCGGACCUCAUAAAGUGCGUCGUAGUCCGGAUUGGAGUCUGCAACUCGACUCCAUGAAGUCGGAAUCGCUAGUAAUCGUAGA